GGGUUGUGAGGUUAAGCGACUAAGCGUACACGGUGGAUGCCCUGGCAGUCAGAGGCGAUGAAGGGCGUGCUAAUCUGCGAUAAGCGCCGGUAAGGUGAUAUGAACCGUUAUAACCGGCGAUACCCGAAUGGGGAAACCCAGUGUGACUCGUCACACUAUCAUUAACUGAAUCCAUAGGUUAAUGAGGCGAACCGGGGGAACUGAAACAUCUAAGUACCCCGAGGAAAAGAAAUCAACCUAGAUUCCCCCAGUAGCGGCGAGCGAACGGGGAGGAGCCCAGAGCCUGAAUCAGCAUGUGUGUUAGUGGAAGCGUCUGGAAAGGCGCGCGAUACAGGGUGACAGCCCCGUACACAAAAGCGCAUGUGCUGUGAGCUCGAUGAGUAGGGCGGGACACGUGGUAUCCUGUCUGAAUAUGGGGGGACCAUCCUCCAAGGCUAAAUACUCCUGACUGACCGAUAGUGAACCAGUACCGUGAGGGAAAGGCGAAAAGAACCCCGGCGAGGGGAGUGAAAAAGAACCUGAAACCGUGUACGUACAAGCAGUGGGAGCCCCACCACUAAGCCAGUGGUGAACUCCACAUACGCAUCCUUUGCUGAGGAUACGGUUAACGGAGCGAAAGCGACGUUCAACCUCAAAAGAAGCAGAGGGGGCUUAGUGGUGGGGUGACUGCGUACCUUUUGUAUAAUGGGUCAGCGACUUAUAUUCUGUAGCAAGGUUAACCGAAUAGGGGAGCCGGAGG
This 739-nucleotide ribosomal RNA is filed under the name Salmonella enterica subsp. enterica serovar Mbandaka. RNAcentral's name for it is "partial 23S ribosomal RNA". It matches the Rfam family "Bacterial large subunit ribosomal RNA", at positions 1 to 672 of the family's 2925-position model. The record is from RNAcentral. Lineage: Bacteria; Pseudomonadati; Pseudomonadota; Gammaproteobacteria; Enterobacterales; Enterobacteriaceae.